Molecule: small nuclear RNA, 107 nt
Filed under: Notamacropus eugenii (tammar wallaby)
Lineage: Eukaryota; Metazoa; Chordata; Mammalia; Diprotodontia; Macropodidae
Source: RNAcentral
GUGCUUGCUUCAGCAACAUAUAUACUAAAAUUAGAAUGAUACAGAGAAAAUUAACAUGGCCCCUGCACAAGGAUGACAAGUAAAUUUGUGAAGAAUUCCACAGUUUA